UGGGGAAUCUUGGGCAAUGGGGGAAACCCUGACCCAGCCAUCCCGCGUGUGCGAUGAAGGCUUUCGGGCUGUAAAGCACUUUUGGCAGGGAAGAAACGGCAUGGGGUAAUACAUGGAGAAACUGACCGGAAGUGCAGAAUAAGCACAGGCCUAACACGGGCCAGCAACCGCGGGAAUACGGAGGGUGGCAGGGUUAAUCGGAAAUACUGGGCGGAAAGCGAGCGCAGGCGGGUCGGAUAGAAAGAUGUGGAAAACGAGGGCUCAACUCUGGUACGGCGCUUUUAACUACCAGGCUAGAGUGUGGGAGAGGAAAGGGGAAUUCCGCGUGUAGCAGUGAAAUGCGUAGAUAUGGGGAGGAACACCGGUGGCGAAGGCGGCCUCCUGGGAUAACUCUGACGCUGAUACACGAAAGCGUGGGGAGCAAACAGG
This 429-nucleotide ribosomal RNA is filed under the name Acidobacteriota bacterium. RNAcentral describes it as "Acidobacteria bacterium partial 16S ribosomal RNA". It matches the Rfam family "Bacterial small subunit ribosomal RNA", at positions 355 to 776 of the family's 1533-position model. Lineage: Bacteria; Pseudomonadati; Acidobacteriota. The record is from RNAcentral.